This is a long non-coding RNA of Amphimedon queenslandica, 229 nucleotides long. RefSeq lists it as uncharacterized. The record is from RefSeq and is a predicted model, not a curated record. The transcript has 2 exons. NCBI's taxonomy places the organism in Eukaryota, Metazoa, Porifera, Demospongiae, Haplosclerida, Niphatidae.
UUUUAAUUGAAAUUUUUUAUGACCGCGAAUAAUUGCAGCCGCGAAUAUAUCCCGACCUACGGUAUUCAUAGUGUGGACGUUGGCUUUUGCAGUGAAAAAUGAAUUUUCUAACUUAUUUUAUGAGGAAAAUAAAGAUUCAGCAGCAUAAAGUAGUAAGGGUAGGAUCAUCAGCUAUUAUUGUCAUUAAUUCUUAUUAUUGUCAUCAUUUAAACAGAUUCAUAUUUCUUUU